GGAUGUGAGGGCAAUCUGGCUAUGGCAUCUGUCAUUGAUCUCUCAUUGAUCACCAUGGUUGUUCCAGCUCUGCUGGCUGGCCAGGCAGGGGUCCUCAUCCUCCCUCACAGCUCCAUGUGCCCACCUCCCAAAGCAUGCUUGCUCGAAGAGGCCAGCCUUCCCCAACCCCCUAGAGAGGACCAGUCUUCGUUCAAGGGCAUAUGAGUUGCUGUGCUCUUCUGCUAUAAUCUUCUAACAUGCCCUCAAAAAUUAGGGAGCUUAGUCACGUCAAUAUAGUCCUUCGUGCACAUUCAGGAAGUUCAGGGGCUGGAGAAAUGGCUCAGCGGUUAAGGCGUUUGCCU
This 341-nucleotide small nuclear RNA is filed under the name Jaculus jaculus (lesser Egyptian jerboa). RNAcentral's name for it is "7SK RNA (ENSJJAG00000004416.1)". It matches the Rfam family "7SK RNA". Rfam says of the family: 7SK was discovered as an abundant small nuclear RNA in the mid-70s but a possible function has only recently been suggested. Two independent studies have found that 7SK RNA binds the CDK9/cyclin T complex (known as elongation factor P-TEFb). Lineage: Eukaryota; Metazoa; Chordata; Mammalia; Rodentia; Dipodidae. The record is from Rfam by way of RNAcentral.